RNAcentral lists this ribosomal RNA (252 nucleotides) under uncultured bacterium. RNAcentral's name for it is "partial 16S ribosomal RNA". It matches the Rfam family "Bacterial small subunit ribosomal RNA", at positions 525 to 776 of the family's 1533-position model. The record is from RNAcentral.
ACGAAGGGGGCUAGCGUUGUUCGGAAUUACUGGGCGUAAAGCGCACGUAGGCGGAUAUUUAAGUGAGGGGUGAAAUCCCAGGGCUCAACCCUGGAACUGCCUCUCAUACUGGGUAUCUCGAGUUCGAGAGAGGUGAGUGGAAUUGCGAGUGUAGAGGUGAAAUUCGUAGAUAUUCGCAGGAACACCAGUGGCGAAGGCGGCUCACUGGCUCGAUACUGACGCUGAGGUGCGAAAGCGUGGGGAGCAAACAGG